Molecule: long non-coding RNA, 1280 nt
Filed under: Elaeis guineensis (African oil palm)
Lineage: Eukaryota; Viridiplantae; Streptophyta; Magnoliopsida; Arecales; Arecaceae
Description: long non-coding RNA (EGUI_LNC074280)
Source: RNAcentral
GGGGUUCAUCAUUUUUUUACUAUCUAUUUCUUAUAUUUUUUAUAUCAAAUAUAAUAAUUUGAUAUGAAAUUUAUUUUUUUUCCUAUUAGAUUAACUCCAAUUAAAUAGAUCUUGAGCCGUUGAUCCUAACAACUGGGUUCUGAUAAUUAUAGUUGUCCUAUCUAGGAAUGCAUUUCAUCAUCCCCGUUCCUUUUCUCCAAAAAAAAAAAAUUCUAUCUCUUUAUAUUUUUUAUUGGAUAUUGAUGAGGUGAUCUAAACCAUUUGUUAGAAACCUUUACCUCCUUGUAAUGUUUAUCUGACGAUGAUCAUAUAGCUUAACGGAUGGUUGCUAGACCAUCAUUUAGUUUGUUUUAAACAUCAACACAAAUUUAAUCACCAAGGAAGAGAAAGGGAACGCUAGUCUACGCAUCCGCCAAACGUGUUAGACGUGUUACCAAAAAAAAAAAGAAAAAAAAAAAGCGUGAGACGUGACUUUCCAUGCAAACCCAUCUGUACCGCCGGAUCGAUUGCCUUCCCUCGGAAAUAAACCACCGCUACCUACAUUUAUUCCAGUGGCCAUCCACACCUUUAACCGCCUAGCAACUUCGAGGUCAUGCCGGAAGCUUACCGACCCUGCUACCAACCUUGACUUCUGGUCCACGCAAUGCUCUGGUUUCAGAACAGUUCUUCGCAGCCAAAAUAGAUUCUCUACGCUAUCUAAAAAAUACUGCAAAAUACUGUAUAUGCUUCAAAGAUACUGAUCAAAAGAUGAAUAAUCAUACAUAUAUUAAAAUAUUAAAAAAUAAAAAUAAAUAAAUUUUAAAAAUAUUUGAAUAAUUUAGAUAAAUAUUAUAUAAUCAUUUAUUUUUUUUAUGAACAUCUCUAAAACAUGUACAUACGAUAUUUUUUAAAUAUCAUAGAGAAUCCCAUUUUAACGUACGGUGGCCGUUCACCGUUAUGCUUGACGCUCUUUUUUUCUGGGCGGUUACCACCUUUUGUUCAAAAGAACUGACUCCCAGUUCAAUUUUUUCAGCGCCUUCCCAUAAUUAAAGCCACCCCCUAAACAAAGGGUACAAAAACAACAUGCCACCGCCCACAGGGCUAACAAAAGCCCAAGGUCUCUCUCCACUAAUAUAUAUAUAACCAACCAGACGCCAUGCAUUCCUCAAAAUCAAAGCUCUUCAGCACGUUUAUUAACUCCACAUUCUUCUCAUUACCUUCGAGUGUUCUUUUAGUUGGGGGAGUGUUUGAAGAUGAGCGUAGAGAUAUUGGACGGAGCCACCCUUCGUGAGUUCGUGGAG